Molecule: ribosomal RNA, 371 nt
Filed under: uncultured organism
Description: bacterial SSU rRNA
Rfam family: Bacterial small subunit ribosomal RNA
Source: RNAcentral
CGAGGGGGGCAAGUGUUGUUCGGAAUCACUGGGCGUAAAGGGAGCGUAGGCGGAUGCUUAAGUUGGAUGUUUAAAACCGGGGCCUAACCUCGGAGCGGCGUCCAAAACUGGGCAUCUUGAAUAGGUCAGAGGCUGGUGGAAUUGGAGGUGUAGCGGUGGAAUGCGUAGAGAUCUCCAAGAACACCUAUUGCGAAGGCAGCCAGCUGGGACCAUAUUGACGCUGAGGCUCGAAAGCAUGGGGAGCAAACAGGAUUAGAUACCCUGGUAGUCCAUGCCGUAAACGAUGAACACUAGGUUUUGGGCUCGUCAACGGUCCAGAGCCGCAGCUAACGCGUUAAGUGUUCCGCCUGGGGAAUACGGUCGCAAGACUG